CAACAAAAUUAUGCUUUCUAUAUAAGUAGCGUCACUUGUAAAGAUGUCUAUGAACUAAUAUUAAGAUGUGAAAAAAAUAUGAUGUAACUUACCCUAAUACUUUGGAAUUAAAGAUAUAUGUGUAACAUUGCAACACGGAACCCUCUUCAUGGACUCAACCUCUGAGCUAGAAUACAGAAAAGAUUCACAUACAGUAUAUUCCAUGGAAAAAUAGAAUAUUUAUCGACUAUGUAGAAGAUUUAGGAAUGGACUGUUCCUCACACAGUGCUUAAUGGAAGACGCCCGGAAUGUUGCUUUUUUUUCAAAUGUUGUCAGAUAGACUUUCGGGAGAAACAACAACAACAAAACUACAUGAUCUGAUAAUGAUGCGUCAGAGAUGCAAAGCCCAGGUUAUUUAAGAGUAAAACGAGGAGCAGAAGAAAGCUCAGACUACCAUCCACUACAUGGAAAAUUGAAAUAAGACUGGCAAAACUCAGAAAGAGGAACAGAAGGACGAAGAAGGUACCAAUUUUGAUGCACCAGGUUUCGCAUUUCGACAAAUUAUGUCUCUUCAGUGAUGCCCAUACCAAAUUAAAACGUUGGAAAUCCGAAAUAAUCAAAUAAAAACUUUGAGGAACUGAAAAAAGGGAGAUCCAAAGAUCGGAGCCAAAUACGUCGAAGGAUCAGAGCUAUGCAUGAGGGAGAUAACCAUUCGUUUUGAAAUAAAUUUCUAAAUUGUACCACAGAAUUUAAAUACAUGUCCGUUUUUUAAAGCUAGUACCGAAGUACUUAGCUAGUUGGCUGUAGAGACCCAAGGGAACUAUUAGUCCACCAGCAGAGGCCUCUACCCAGGGGUCAUAAUGCUAAUCUUAUACACCAGAUGCGCCUUUCGAUAAAUUAUGUCUCUCUUUAGUGACGCUCACGCUCAUGCCAAAACUUUGGAAAUCCGAAAUAUCUAAAUUAAAAAAAAACUUUGAAGAAUUAUU
This is a long non-coding RNA of Saccostrea echinata, 965 nucleotides long. RefSeq lists it as uncharacterized. The record is from RefSeq and is a predicted model, not a curated record. NCBI's taxonomy places the organism in Eukaryota, Metazoa, Mollusca, Bivalvia, Ostreida, Ostreidae. The transcript has 4 exons.